RNAcentral lists this ribosomal RNA (1149 nucleotides) under Cinara cf. cembrae Homo_H1. Its description in RNAcentral is "bacterial SSU rRNA". It matches the Rfam family "Eukaryotic small subunit ribosomal RNA", at positions 46 to 846 of the family's 1831-position model. The record is from RNAcentral. Lineage: Eukaryota; Metazoa; Arthropoda; Insecta; Hemiptera; Aphididae. RNAcentral also lists the same sequence under 1 other name.
UAGCCAUGCAUGUCUCAGUGCAAGCCACAUUAAGGUGAAACCGCGAAAGGCUCAUUAAAUCAGUUGUGGUUCCUUAGAUCGUACGUGGUUACUUGGAUAACUGUGGUAAUUCUAGAGCUAAUACAUGCCUAUAGAGUUCAGACCGUCGUUCCGCUCUCGGGCGGCGCGUGCGGUAGGGACGCUUUUAUUAGAUCAAAACCGGCCCGUCGCGGCGCGCUUCGCGCGCGUCUCGAUCGUGGCCCGCGCAAAGACCUGGUGACUCUGAAUAACUUUUAGCUGAUCGCACGGUCUCCGUACCGGCGACGCAUCUUUCAAAUGUCUGCCUUAUCAACUGUCGACGGUAGAUUCAAUGCCUACCGUGGUGGUAACGGGUAACGGGGAAUCAGGGUUCGAUUCCGGAGAGGGAGCCUGAGAAACGGCUACCACAUCCAAGGAAGGCAGCAGGCGCGCAAAUUACCCACUCCCGGAACGGGGAGGUAGUGACGAAAAAUAACGAUACGGGACUCAUCCGAGGCCCCGUAAUCGGAAUGAGAACACUUUAAAACCUUUAAACGAGGAUCAAUUGGAGGGCAAGUCUGGUGCCAGCAGCCGCGGUAAUUCCAGCUCCAAUAGCGUAUAUUAAAGUUGUUGCGGUUAAAAAGCUCGUAGUCGGAUCUGUGUCUGGGCGGUGUCGGACCACUCUCGCGGCCGGAGUGUCGCGUCGCGGGCGUUUCGGGGGACCACGCGUCUUUCCGGUGCGUCCGUUGCCGUGCUCGUCGGUCGUUUCGGGGUGUUAGUUACCGGCACGUCGGCCGGACGUAUUGUCGGCAGGCGGACACGUGUCCCGGAUCUUCGUACGUGCCGUACGACCACGCGUCGUGCGGUCGUCGGGGGACGGCGACGGCGGCCGCCUACUCCAAUCUUGCUGUGCGGUGCUCUUCACCGAGUGCCGUCGGCGGGCCGACACGUUUACUUUGAACAAAUUAGAGUGCUCAAAGCAGGCUAAAAUCUGGCGGUGCGGCCUCGCGGCCGUUCCGCCAAAAAGCCCUGAAUACUGGUCGCAUGGAAUAAUGGAACAAGACCUCGGUCCCGCGCAUCUCCGCCCUUCGCGGGCGCGCGAAACCGCCCCUCGGGGUGUUUCCGUGCGCGGGCCGCCGGGCCGUGCGGGUG